This 165-nucleotide ribosomal RNA is filed under the name uncultured bacterium. Its description in RNAcentral is "partial 16S ribosomal RNA". It matches the Rfam family "Bacterial small subunit ribosomal RNA", at positions 1335 to 1500 of the family's 1533-position model. The record is from RNAcentral.
CUAGUAAUCGCGGAUCAGCAUGCCGCGGUGAAUACGUUCCCGGGCCUUGUACACACCGCCCGUCACACCAUGAGAGUUGGGAAUACCCGAAGCCUGUGAGCUAACUUAUAGAGGCAGCAGUCGAAGGUAGAAUCAAUGAUUGGGGUGAAGUCGUAACAAGGUAAC